Molecule: long non-coding RNA, 683 nt
Organism: Balaenoptera ricei (Rice's whale)
Lineage: Eukaryota; Metazoa; Chordata; Mammalia; Artiodactyla; Balaenopteridae
Exons: 4
Source: RefSeq, a predicted model, not a curated record
UCAUGCAAGUUGUGCAGGGCGCACAGACGGUUCUGGAACCUGGAGGCUGGACCUGAAACCUCCGUGCACCUGUGUGUCAAUCGUGGGGACAGUGGGCCUGCACGUGAGCAGUGGCACAGAGGACACCCAGCGUGGUGGUUCUCCAACGAGCAGGAGAGCCCUCUGGAAACUCAAGCUCCGACAGCCACUCCUGCCACAGAAACUUCCCAGGUUGCUACAGAAUAUUGAGCAGAGAGGAUGGGCCACUUCAGUAAAUCCUCCACAUUCAAAGCAGUUUUUAGGGCCCACAGGCCAGACGAUGGCCUAGAGGCUGGGUGCGAAGGUCACUGAAACGCAGCCUCAGGCCUCCCAGCGCAGGAACGAGGUGGGAAGCAGACGUGCACUCGAACAGGAUGCCGUGCGGGUUGGCGAGGGCGUCGCGGGCAGCGGUGCACCUACCUGCAGAGUCAGAGCGGGCACCCCAAGAAGGCCAGCUGCGGGCUACAUCAGGACGGCUACGGGAGCCUUCGUCACCAGGAAGGGGGGCAUCGUCGGAGGAGAGGUCGGACGCACGUAGGCUGUACAUCACCUACUCAGGAAACCCAGCAUGUUUAGUACAUGUCAAAUACGCUCUUCAACUCAGAGAAAAAUCUCUCUCUAAGCCACUUGAAGGAGUUUUAAAAUCCUGUUCUGAAGAAUCUUUG